CAUUAGCUCUUACUUUUCAGACUUCAUCUUGAAACAAAAUCUUCCUCAUAAUUGACCCCAUGACACUCGAUUCACACUUUCUGACUGCGAGACAGUGUUAUGCAACCUAAAUGCUUGUGAUUCAAAAUACCCAUUUAGAGAGAGUUGUUUUUUUGCUUUACGUUGCUCCGAACCCUUCAUCAAAGAACACCAAGAAAACCAAGUCCGCUUGAAAAGAAAUCCAAUUUAAUGACUGUGAAGUAGAGUCGACUGACUGGUGCCUCAGCGUACCCGUACCCGAACCCUACUCAACUGCCAUUGGGCAUCCGUAGGCGAUGACUUGUACUUGGCCCGCGUCUUUGUUUUCAUUGCGGCUGUCACUUUCGGACGAUGACGGCAACGCACUGAAACGUUAAUGGCAAGUGUAAAAUGCUUUAAGCCAAGUCCAGAAGAAGUAACAGACAGCAAAGUACAAAAAAAAAGAGAAAGAAAAGGGGAGAAUCAAGAAAGGGAGCAAUAGCUGGAAAGGAAAACCAAAAGAAAAUGCCGACAAUGACGACAAGGACAACGACGCUUCUGCCAUAGUGUAAAAAAAGAAAUUUUGGUCUUCUUUAGGCAUAUGCAAAUUGUGUAAUAAAUUAAAU
Long non-coding RNA from Drosophila willistoni, 623 nucleotides. RefSeq lists it as uncharacterized. The transcript has 3 exons. The record is from RefSeq and is a predicted model, not a curated record. NCBI's taxonomy places the organism in Eukaryota, Metazoa, Arthropoda, Insecta, Diptera, Drosophilidae.